This 885-nucleotide long non-coding RNA is filed under the name Marmota monax (woodchuck). The record is from RNAcentral. Lineage: Eukaryota; Metazoa; Chordata; Mammalia; Rodentia; Sciuridae.
AAUAAGCAAUGCUUGUUACUUAUUAAAAACUUUUUAAACCCAGAAAAGCAUAAAGAAGACUAGUAAACCUUUAAUUUCAUCAGAGAUUAGUACAUGUUUAAAGUCUCCCUUUUCUUUCCUAUACACAAACAUCAUAUAUAAACAGUAAAUAUCAGUUUAAACAGCUGGACAUGUUAUAAAGAGUCAGACCUGGUGUUAAACUGGCCUGGUUGAAGAAAGGCCAAAUUACAAGCAGUGGGAACUCCCCGCCCUUAAAAGGGGGCCUGGCUGCCUCUUGGCUUAAUGAACUAAUUAUUCUUGUCUGCAAAGAAACUGUUUUCCUCUUUGCCUGGGGUUACAUAAGUGAAAGUGCAUAGCUAAAUUGCACAGCUAAAGCUACUUUGCUAGGGGCAAGUAGGUGGCAGUGGUUAGUGGGUCUGCUGUGGAAAGAAAAAUUGGUCUCAAUGUAGACUUUGAAUAGCUGGAAGACUCAGAGUUCCUCCCUAUGCAGUGUAGCUCUGCCUCCACCCUUUGCACCUGAUCCCAUGCUUUUUCCUGCUGCUGUGUGACUCAUCAGGUGCGAGUCUCUUGUCUCCAAGGCUAGGUUGUAAAUUAUCAACAGCAGGAAUGCUCUCAAGGGCUUUGCACCUUUUCCCUUCACUUGGCAGAGUGCAAAGUCCCUUAGAUCAUUGCCUUUGUCUUUUUUUUUUUUUCCCCUCAACAUGCUUCAUAUAAUCAUGUUGCUAGUUUGUCAGAGAGAAGGGCACAAGAGAAGCAAAACUUGUCAUAGAGCUUCAGGACAAGCUGUUGCCCACCUUCCCCUUACUUCUGCUGACUGGGACCCCCAAACAAGACCACUUUUUAUGAGUUAGUAACUUUUAUUUAAUGAUUGGUCAUGUUCUUUCC